RNAcentral lists this ribosomal RNA (468 nucleotides) under uncultured Acidovorax sp. Its description in RNAcentral is "bacterial SSU rRNA". It matches the Rfam family "Bacterial small subunit ribosomal RNA", at positions 912 to 1382 of the family's 1533-position model. The record is from RNAcentral. Lineage: Bacteria; Pseudomonadati; Pseudomonadota; Betaproteobacteria; Burkholderiales; Comamonadaceae.
AGACGGGGACCCGCACAUGCGGUGGAUGAUGUGGAUUAAUUCGAUGCAACGCGAAAACCUUACCUACCCUUGACAUGUCUGGAACCUUGCUGAGAGGCGAGGGUGCCUUCGGGAGCCAGAACACAGGUGCUGCAUGGCUGUCGUCAGCUCGUGUCGUGAGAUGUUGGGUUAAGUCCCGCAACGAGCGCAACCCUUGUCAUUAGUUGCUACAUUCAGUUGGGCACUCUAAUGAGACUGCCGGUGACAAACCGGAGGAAGGUGGGGAUGACGUCAAGUCCUCAUGGCCCUUAUAGGUGGGGCUACACACGUCAUACAAUGGAUGGUACAAAGGGUCGCCAACCCGCGAGGGGGAGCCAAUCCCAUAAAGCCAUUCGUAGUCCGGAUCGCAGUCUGCAACUCGACUGCGUGAAGUCGGAAUCGCUAGUAAUCGUGGAUCAGAAUGUCACGGUGAAUACGUUCCCGGGUCUU